AGAGUUUGAUCAUGGCUCAGAUUGAACGCUGGCGGCGUGCCUAACACAUGCAAGUCGAGCGGUAACAGGUGUAGCAAUACAUGCUGACGAGCGGCGAACGGGUGAGUAAUGCUUCGGAAUCUACCCAGUAGUGGGGAAUAACCAACCGAAAGGUUGGCUAAUACCGCAUACGUCCUACGGGAGAAAGCGGGGGAUCGCAAGACCUCGCGCUAUCGGAUGAGCCGAAGCCGGAUUAGCUAGUUGGUAGGGUAACGGCCUACCAAGGCGACGAUCCGUAGCUGGUCUGAGAGGACGACCAGCCACACUGGGACUGAGACACGGCCCAGACUCCUACGGGAGGCAGCAGUGGGGAAUAUUGGACAAUGGGGGAAACCCUGAUCCAGCGACGCCGCGUGUGUGAAGAAGGCCUGCGGGUUGUAAAGCACUUUUAGUGGGGAUGAAAAGUGCAGAGCUAACACCUCUGCAUCUUGACCUAACCCACAGAAAAAGCACCGGCUAACUCUGUGCCAGCAGCCGCGGUAAUACAGAGGGUGCGAGCGUUAAUCGGAAUUACUGGGCGUAAAGCGUGCGUAGACGGUAAUGUAAGUCGGGUGUGAAAGCCCCGGGCUCAACCUGGGAAUUGCAUUCGAGACUGCAUUGCUUGGGUGCGGAAGAGGGAAGCGGAAUUUCCGGUGUAGCGGUGAAAUGCGUAGAUAUCGGAAGGAACACCAGUGGCGAAAGCGGCUUCCUGGUCCGACACCGACGUUCAGGCACGAAAGCGUGGGGAGCAAACAGGAUUAGAUACCCUAGUAGUCC
Molecule: ribosomal RNA, 795 nt
Filed under: uncultured bacterium
Lineage: Bacteria
Description: bacterial SSU rRNA
Rfam family: Bacterial small subunit ribosomal RNA
Source: RNAcentral